GGGUUGUGAGGUUAAGCGACUAAGCGUACACGGUGGAUGCCCUGGCAGUCAGAGGCGAUGAAGGACGUGCUAAUCUGCGAUAAGCGUCGGUAAGGUGAUAUGAACCGUUAUAACCGGCGAUUUCCGAAUGGGGAAACCCAGUGUGAUUCGUUACACUAUCAUUAACUGAAUCCAUAGGUUAAUGAGGCGAACCGGGGGAACUGAAACAUCUAAGUACCCCGAGGAAAAGAAAUCAACCGAGAUUCCCCCAGUAGCGGCGAGCGAACGGGGAGCAGCCCAGAGCCUGAAUCAGUGUGUGUGUUAGUGGAAGCGUCUGGAAAGGCGUGCGAUACAGGGUGACAGCCCCGUACACAAAAAUGCACAUAUUGUGAGCUCGAUGAGUAGGGCGGGACACGUGGUAUCCUGUCUGAAUAUGGGGGGACCAUCCUCCAAGGCUAAAUACUCCUGACUGACCGAUAGUGAACCAGUACCGUGAGGGAAAGGCGAAAAGAACCCCGGCGAGGGGAGUGAAAAAGAACCUGAAACCGUGUACGUACAAGCAGUGGGAGCACGCUUAGGCGUGUGACUGCGUACCUUUUGUAUAAUGGGUCAGCGACUUAUAUUCUGUAGCAAGGUUAACCGAAUAGGGGAGCCGAAGGGAAACCGAGUCUUAACUGGGCGUUAAGUUGCAGGGUAUAGACCCGAAACCCGGUGAUCUAGCCAUGGGCAGGUUGAAGGUUGGGUAACACUAACUGGAGGACCGAACCGACUAAUGUUGAAAAAUUAGCGGAUGACUUGUGGCUGGGGGUGAAAGGCCAAUCAAACCGGGAGAUAGCUGGUUCUCCCCGAAAGCUAUUUAGGUAGCGCCUCGUGAAUUCAUCUCCGGGGGUAGAGCACUGUUUCGGCAAGGGGGUCAUCCCGACUUACCAACCCGAUGCAAACUGCGAAUACCGGAGAAUGUUAUCACGGGAGACACACGGCGGGUGCUAACGUCCGUCGUGAAGAGGGAAACAACCCAGACCGCCAGCUAAGGUCCCAAAGUCAUGGUUAAGUGGGAAACGAUGUGGGAAGGCCCAGACAGCCAGGAUGUUGGCUUAGAAGCAGCCAUCAUUUAAAGAAAGCGUAAUAGCUCACUGGUCGAGUCGGCCUGCGCGGAAGAUGUAACGGGGCUAAACCAUGCAC
This 1161-nucleotide ribosomal RNA is filed under the name Escherichia coli. RNAcentral's name for it is "partial 23S ribosomal RNA". It matches the Rfam family "Bacterial large subunit ribosomal RNA", at positions 1 to 1194 of the family's 2925-position model. Lineage: Bacteria; Pseudomonadati; Pseudomonadota; Gammaproteobacteria; Enterobacterales; Enterobacteriaceae. The record is from RNAcentral.